RNAcentral lists this ribosomal RNA (253 nucleotides) under uncultured bacterium. RNAcentral describes it as "partial 16S ribosomal RNA". It matches the Rfam family "Bacterial small subunit ribosomal RNA", at positions 524 to 776 of the family's 1533-position model. The record is from RNAcentral.
AACGUAGGACGCAAGCGUUAUCCGGAGUUACUGGGCGUAAAGCGCGGGCAGGCGGCUCGAAACGUCUGAUGUGAAAUCUCCUCGCUCAACGGGGAGAGGCCAUUGGAAACGGUCGAGCUGGAGGGCAGUAGAGGUAGGCGGAAUUCCUGGUGUAGCGGUGAAAUGCGCAGAUAUCAGGAGGAACACCAAUGGCGAAGGCAGCUCGCUGGGACGGUACUGACGCUGAGACGCGAAAGCGUGGGGAGCGAACAGG